This 253-nucleotide ribosomal RNA is filed under the name uncultured bacterium. RNAcentral describes it as "partial 16S ribosomal RNA". It matches the Rfam family "Bacterial small subunit ribosomal RNA", at positions 524 to 776 of the family's 1533-position model. The record is from RNAcentral.
UACGUAGGGGGCAAGCGUUGUCCGGAUUUACUGGGCGUAAAGAGCGUGUAGGCGGCUGGGUAGGUCCGUUGUGAAAACUCGAGGCUCAACCUCGAGACGCCGAUGGAAACCCCCCAGCUAGAGUCCGGAAGAGGAGAGUGGAAUUCCUGGUGUAGCGGUGAAAUGCGCAGAUAUCAGGAGGAACACCCGUAGCGAAGGCGGCACUCUGGGCCGAUACUGACACUGAGGAGCGAAAGCGUGGGGAGCGAACAGG